This is a non-coding RNA of Acanthosepion pharaonis, 111 nucleotides long. NCBI's taxonomy places the organism in Eukaryota, Metazoa, Mollusca, Cephalopoda, Sepiida, Sepiidae. The record is from the annotation of a GenBank genome assembly.
UGGCAACAUCAUCUUGAAACAUCGGUUCCCGUACUAUCACCGACGUUAAGCAAAGUUGAGCCUCGUCAGUACCUAGAUGGGUGACCGAUUGGGAAUACAAAGUGCUGUAAG